GAUGCACGCUGGCGGCGUGCCUAAUACAUGCAAGUCGAGCGAAGCGGGGACUGGUGAGUAACACGUGGAUAACCUCCUAUACGACUGGGAUAACUUCGGGAAACCGGCGCUAAAACGGAUACUUAUAGAUGGGUCCGCGUUUCAUUAGCUAGUUGGUAAGGUAACGGCUUACCAAGCCAACGAUGCAUCGCCGACCUGCUAGGGUGAUCGGCCACACUGGAACUGAGACACGGCCCAGACGCCGACGGGAGGCAGCAGUAGGGAAUCUUCCGCAAUGUGCGAAAGCCUAACGGAGCAACGCCGCGUGAGUGAUGAAGGUCUUCGGAUCGUAAAACUCUGUUAUUAGGGAAGCGGUACCUAAUCAGAAAGCCACGGCUAACUACGUGCCAGCAGCCGCGGUAAUUC
This 405-nucleotide ribosomal RNA is filed under the name uncultured bacterium. RNAcentral describes it as "partial 16S ribosomal RNA". It matches the Rfam family "Bacterial small subunit ribosomal RNA", at positions 28 to 526 of the family's 1533-position model. The record is from RNAcentral.